This 124-nucleotide small RNA is filed under the name Marmota monax (woodchuck). The record is from RNAcentral. Lineage: Eukaryota; Metazoa; Chordata; Mammalia; Rodentia; Sciuridae.
UCUGGGAAGGUGGCGCACACCUGUAAUCCCAGUUACUCAGGAGGCUGAGGCAGGAGGAUCGCUAGUUCAAAGCCAGCCUCAGCAACAGGGAGGCCCUAAGCAACACAGUGAGACCCUGUCUUUA